CCUACGGGAGGCAGCAGUGAGGAAUAUUCGUCAAUGGACGCAAGUCUGAACCAGCCAUGCCGCGUGCAGGAAGACGGCUCUAUGAGUUGUAAACUGCUUUUGUACGAGGGUAAACGCAGAUACGCGCAUCUGUCUGAAAGUAUCGUACGAAUAAGGAUCGGCUCACUCCGUGCCAGGCGCCGCGGCAAGACGGAGGAUUCAAGGGUUAGGCGGAUUUAUUUGGUGUAAAGGGUGCGUAGGCGGUCGGAUAAGUUAGAGGUGAAAUCCCUGGGCUCAACUUCGGAAUUGCCUCUGAUACUGGUAGGCUAGAGAGCAGUAGAGGUGGGCGGAAUGUAUGGUGUAGCGGUGAAAUGCUUAGAUAUCACGCAGAACUCCGAUUGCGAAGGCAGCAUACUGGCGCGCGACUGACGCUGAAGCACGAAAGCGUGGGUAUCGAACAGGAUUAGAUACCCCUGUAGUC
Molecule: ribosomal RNA, 460 nt
Filed under: uncultured bacterium
Lineage: Bacteria
Description: partial 16S ribosomal RNA
Rfam family: Bacterial small subunit ribosomal RNA
Source: RNAcentral